Molecule: long non-coding RNA, 1939 nt
Filed under: Olea europaea (common olive)
Lineage: Eukaryota; Viridiplantae; Streptophyta; Magnoliopsida; Lamiales; Oleaceae
Description: long non-coding RNA (OEUR_LNC004181)
Source: RNAcentral
UCAUGCCUUAUUGUUUUCCCCUUCAUACAAUUCCAAGAACUUGAAAAAUCGAAUCACUGAAUUCUAUGAGAUAACCUUCAUAAGACACCAACGAAAACCUAUAAAUGUAUUCCUCCUAGAAGUUAUUCGAACAUUUUUCUGCGCAAAGGUCAACUUUGAUAUUUUCUCAUGUUACUUCAAAGGGAGAAGGCAAUUUACAGGAAGAAAAUUUAGAUUUAGUUUUAAAAAGAUGUACCCAAGACUACCUCAAAGAGAACAAUCAAUCGAAUCUUGAGUAAAAUAUAAUCCUUCUGAUCCUCCUCCAAGUGAAAGGGAAAAAAGUUGAAAAUGCAAACUUGCAAGAAAUUACCCAUUAGUAGUAAUCAGGUGCAUCUGGGAUCCAAUCCAUCGGAGAGCGAGGCACUCAAUUUGAAUGGUACAGACUGCACCGAAACACAAAUGAUCAGCAUCCCAUCACAGCACAAUUGUAAACAAAACUGCCAGAUUGUUUUCGGCCGAGCAAAACCCAUUGCGGCGGACCUUCAAUUGGAACCCAUGCAUUGACUUCGAUAUAUCCCUGACCAACAGUCCGAGGCCCUCCAAUUACAAUAAGCCUAUCGCCACAUGCCCUAAACGCCAAACCCCAACCAUUCGUAGAAUCAGCUCGUUCUGGCAAUCUUCCUACGGUAAUCCACACUUUAUUAUUCUUGUCAUACUUUCUCAGUGCCAUGUCAGCAUAAUCAGCAGCAUAUAAUUCAUUAUUUACAACAGCAAUCAACGGAGGUGCUUCGGACGUAGCAGGUCGAUCGAAUUCCCUGGCCACAUCAGUCCGCACUGGGGACAUGUUAGGUAUUUCAGUCCAAGUCUCGGUUUCCAGAUUAUAUUCCUCUCCACAUGUGAGAAGCUUCGACUCUGUUCCUCCAAUUCCUCCAAUCACAUAAAACUUUCCAUCCAUGAACACCCCAGAACACAUCUUCCUCGGUUUCUUCAUGCUUGGAAGUGUCUUCCAAAUUCCCAAUUCAGAAUUAUAGAGCUCUGCGGAACCCUAAAGUUUACAGCGGUGUACUCACUUCAGUGGUCCUGAAAAGACUCGAAUUGAUGACCAUUGGGGAGUAAACCCAAUGUCUGAUCAUUGAGCUACUUCUCAGAGUUGAGACUUGAAUAUUUUACUACCACAUAAUUAUCAAAUAGCUAUCUUAAAAACACAAAGUUAUUAGAAAAUGUUCAACACAAGUAAAAUGAAGAUAACAUAGCAUUAUGGACACUGUCAAAAUCAACAGUAUACAGAUAAUUUGUAAUUCAAAACUAAAGAAAAUUUUCCUCACUUUUGAAACAAGUUAUUCUAUCAAUAAAACAGGUUCAGAUAUCAAAAUUAAGAGAAUUAGUUUGAACUUUCCAUUUUAUAUAUCGAAGAGAGAACUUCACCAAAAACAUGGUUUACAUCAUUCAAAGGGUCAAAUAAUAGCGAUUCAAUGACUGGAGUCACUUGACGUAUUUAAGAACCAGAAUAAAACGUUAUAGAAAUAUGCAAGAACAUCCAUUCAAACUAGCCAAAGAAAAGCAUAAACUUCGGGAUAAAAGAGAACAGGAAGCUGCUAUAAAGCUGCAAAGAGUAACCGAAGAAAAAAGAUCACUUUAUAGCCGAUGCUCCCAGUAAACAUGUUCAUGCCUUAUUGUUUUCCCCUUCAUACAAUUCCAAGAACUUGAAAAAUCGAAUCACUGAAUUCUAUGAGAUAACCUUCAUAAGACACCAACGAAAACCUAUAAAUGUAUUCCUCCUAGAAGUUAUUCGAACAUUUUUCUGCGCAAAGGUCAACUUUGAUAUUUUCUCAUGUUACUUCAAAGGGAGAAGGCAAUUUACAGGAAGAAAAUUUAGAUUUAGUUUUAAAAAGAUGUACCCAAGACUACCUCAAAGAGAACAAUCAAUCGAAUCUUGAGUAAAAUAUAAUCCUUCUGAUCC